UCGCAAAAAACCUCAAACCAUCAAAUCCAUUUUCACAAUUUCUCUCAGAAUCGGCGCUUUUCCCUCGCUCACCGCUUCAUCGUCAACAAAUCUCAACCGUAGCCGCACUACAAGCCCAUAUGGACGGAAAACCCAUGAAGAAAUCUUGGUCGUCGGCUGACAACUGAACUGCAACAUCGUCUUGACUCACCCUAGCAUCAGUAGAUUCUAACUUCAAACCUUCUCCGACCCUUCUACCCAAAAGCUUUCUCAUCGAUUUAUCAUCAGGCCUGAAGCCAAACCAGAACCAAAAGAAAUCGAAGAGAGUUCUGAACCUCUUCUCAAAUACAAGAUUUUGCAACAGCAGUUGCAUGGGAGUCAGGGAAGCCGUUGGUGAUGGAGAGGGUGAAGGUUGCUCCACCUAAGGCCAUGGAAAUGAGGGUAAAGGUCAAAGAUACCUCAGUUUAUUACACUAAACUCUACUCUGCCGAAG
This is a non-coding RNA of Malus domestica (apple), 472 nucleotides long. The record is from RefSeq and is a predicted model, not a curated record. Lineage: Eukaryota; Viridiplantae; Streptophyta; Magnoliopsida; Rosales; Rosaceae.